UUUUUGCCUUUCCUAGGGCCACUCCCACGGCAUAUGGAGGUUCCCAGGCUAGGAGUCUAAUUGGAGCUGUAGCCGCCAGCCUAUGCCAGAGCCACCGCAACGCGGGAUCCAAGCCGCGUCUGCAACCUACACCACAGGUCACGGCAACUCUGGAUCCUUAACCCCUUGAGCAAGGCCAGGGAUCGAACCCUCAACCUCAUGGUUCCUAGUCUGAUUCGUUAACCACUGCGCCACGAUGGGAACUCCAGUAACUGUUCCUUUUAGAACAAAGAAUACCUAACACUUUUUGAUCCACAUUCCCUACCCAGUUACUGUUGGAGACAUUUGAGCUCAUGAUCUCUGACCUAAUUUAAUAGCCAGAUAUAAAAUUGUACAUAGAAACAUCAAAUAUGCACAUAAAAUGAGUCCUCCCAAAAUGUUUUAUGUGGUUAUAUUAGAAUUCUAGUAUUAUGGUUAAUUUUUUUCACUAUUUAAAAGUUUUCUGGAGUUCCACUGCGGCUCAGCAGGGUAAGAACAUGACAGUCUCUGUGAAGAUGCGGUUUUGAUCCCUGGCUUCGCUUAGUGAGUUAAGGGUAUGGUGUUAUAAGCUGUGGUACAGAUAUGUGGCUUGGAUCCAGUUGUUGUGGCUGUGGCGUACGCCUCAGCUGCAGCUUUGGCUUGACCCCUACUCUGGGUACUUCCAUUUGCCACAGGGGUGGCCAUAAAAAGAAAAAAAAGUUCUGCAUUAGUUUUGCAUAUAUUAAAAGAGGGUGGAAGUUGACCUAAGUCAGUGUGACCAUUCAGCAGAUGUCCAAUCUUUUAGUAAACUGCAGUGAUGUCCAGCAAUUACAAGAGGUGAAGGCCAUAUGUCUCUUGUCCCAUAACCUUGCAACUGAGCGGUAUGUUACAAUGAAAGCAAAACUUAGCCCAAAUUCUUUUAAACGUACACCACUUAUUAGACAAGAAGUACGAACUUGCUUCCUGUAAUCCCAGAGAAGCACCCUCCCCCCCUUUUCUUUUCUCAGGACUCACUGAAUUGAAAUAAAAGUUUGAAAGAAACUUGAGUGAAAGUUUCAUUCUUAGGCAGACACAGCAAUGUUCUAAUAACUGAAUCAGAUGACUCAGCAUCAGGUCUUUGAAGUGGGAAAAGGACAAGCAGUGCUCUGGCUCCUUCAGCACCGCCGAUCCUAACAGAUUCUUAACACUGUCAUCCUACAAACACGGUGGAACCCAGACAGUCUUUCUACCUAACCACCUCUCCCGAUUGCUAUUCAUUUCCUAAGUGGAAACUCAUUCCUAACAUACUUUAUGCAACUUAAUGAGCUUUCUGGUAUAAAUUUUGAUAAAGAUGAUUGAAAUGUUUAAGCAACAAUCUUAGAAAGUGGAUGCCUGGUUAGGGGAUGCUUUUUUUAAUUCCUUUUUGGCUUCACCUGUGGCAUGUGGAAGUUCCCAGGGCCAGGGAUCGAACCCGUGCCACAGCAGCAAUCCAAGCUGCAGCAGUGACAAUGCCAGAUCCUUAACCUGCUGUGCCACAGGGGAACUCCU
Molecule: long non-coding RNA, 1524 nt
Filed under: Sus scrofa (pig)
Lineage: Eukaryota; Metazoa; Chordata; Mammalia; Artiodactyla; Suidae
Description: lncRNA (ENSSSCG00015050221.1)
Source: RNAcentral